UUCCGGUUGAUCCUGCCGGACCUGACUGCUAUCGGAUUGGUACUAAGCCAUGCGAGUCGUUGUAGCAAUACAAGGCAGACGGCUCAGUAACACGUAGUCAAUCUACCCUAUGGACGUGGAUAACCUCGGGAAACUGAGAAUAAUACACGAUAGAUCAUAAUGCCUGGAAUGGUUUAUGAUUGAAAUGAUUUAUCGCCAUAGGAUGGGACUGCGGCCUAUCAGCUUGUUGGUGAGGUAAUGGCCCACCAAGGCUAUUACAGGUACGGGCUCUGAGAGGAGAAGCCCGGAGAUGGGUACUGAGACACGGACCCAGGCCCUAUGGGGCGCAGCAGGCGAGAAACCUUUGCAAUGUGCGCAAGCACGACAAGGUUAAUCCGAGUGUUUCCUGCUAAAGGAAUCUUUUGUUAGUCGUAAAACCACUGAUGAAUAAGGGGUGGGCAAGUUCUGGUGUCAGCCGCCGCGGUAAAACCAGCACCUCAAGUGGUCAGGAGGAUUAUUGGGCCUAAAGCAUCCGUAGCCGGCUCUGCAAGUUUUCGGUUAAAUCCACUUGCUCAACAAAUGGGCUGCCGAAAAUACUACAUAGCUAGGGAGUGGGAGAGGUAGACGGUAUUCGGUGGGUAGGGGUAAAAUCCUCUGAUCCACCGAAGACCACCAGUGGCGAAGGCGGCUUGCCAGAACGCGCUCGACGGUGAGGGAUGAAAGCUGGGGGAGCAACCCGGAUUAGAUACCCGGGUAGUCCCAGCUGUAAACGAUGCAGACUCGGUGAUGCACUGGCUUGUGGCCAGUGCAGUGCCGCAGGGAAGCCGUUAAGUUUGCCGCCUGGGAAGUACGUACGCAAGUAUGAAACUUAAAGGAAUUGGCGGGGGAGCACCACAAGGGGUGAAGCCUGCGGUUCAAUUGGAUUCAACGCCGGA
Molecule: ribosomal RNA, 914 nt
Filed under: uncultured archaeon
Lineage: Archaea
Description: bacterial SSU rRNA
Rfam family: Archaeal small subunit ribosomal RNA
Source: RNAcentral